Molecule: non-coding RNA, 242 nt
Organism: Pelobates cultripes (western spadefoot toad)
Lineage: Eukaryota; Metazoa; Chordata; Amphibia; Anura; Pelobatidae
Source: the annotation of a GenBank genome assembly
CAUAGGUAUUUAAAAAUGACAGACUUUGAAGUCAGAGUUUAGACCAUAUGGGGUUAAAGUCUUAAAAUUUAAUAUAAAUCUCAUUUCCUCUUUCCCUAGUUUUUUUAUAUAGUCUCCUCCCCUACAAUAUUUUUUCACUUCUUUUAUUGCACAAAAGAAAAGGUUAAAACAAUAAAAAAUGACUUGCCAAAGUUUGUGGCUAUCCAGGACUGGAUUAUGCCACCCACUAAAUGGAAAGUCAC